This is a long non-coding RNA of Magnolia sinica, 402 nucleotides long. RefSeq lists it as uncharacterized. The record is from RefSeq and is a predicted model, not a curated record. The transcript has 2 exons. Lineage: Eukaryota; Viridiplantae; Streptophyta; Magnoliopsida; Magnoliales; Magnoliaceae.
ACCAAAAGGUUUGAGCUUUCUGAUUUUGAUGUGUCCCAUUUCAGAAAGUUAUUAUUAAUGUCCCCUUCUCUGAAAAAUCAAACAGCUGACAAGUUCUUUUAUUAAGAAAUCACUUGCAUCUGGUUGCACAACUAUUUGUGUUGGACAGGUGGACAAUCCAAUCAUUGAAGCCAUCUUACAAAAAUCAUACCAAUUUGACUAUCCUAACCAUAGGACCAGCUGCAUGAAAAUUGGAUAUAGAAAAAUGGAUACAGUAAUCAAAUUGGAAUCAUAUGUUGGGUAGAGAAAUUCAUUGGUCAAUUGAUUUUAAAUCCAAAUCUAUCUUGGAAAAUAGACAGUUAUAACAAAAAGGCCUUGCAAAGUAGAUGGUUAGGGAGAAAGAUGUGGUGCUUUUUCUUUUUU